CAAUAGCGUAUAUUAAUGUUGUUGCAGUUAAAAAGCUCGUAGUUGGAUUUCUGGUGGGAGCGGUUGGUCUGCCCCGCGAGGGGUAGUUACUGAGCCGUAUCCGGCCCUUUUCGGGUUGACCGUGGCUGGCAUUAAUUUGUCGGUGCGGGAGGCCCGUCGUUUACUGUGAACAAAUUAGAGUGUUCAAAGCAGGGUGUUCUUGAAUACAUUAGCAUGGAAUAAUGAGAUAGGACUUUGGUGGUUCUCACUUUUUGUGGGAUAUUUUGUUGGUUUGCACGCCAAAGUAAUGAUUANUAGGAGCAGUUGGGGGUAUUCGUAUUCAAUUGUCAGAGGUGAAAUUCUUGGAUUUCUAGAAGACGAACUACUGCGAANGNAUUUACNAAGGAUGUUUNCAUUA
Molecule: ribosomal RNA, 397 nt
Filed under: uncultured eukaryote
Lineage: Eukaryota
Description: partial 18S ribosomal RNA
Rfam family: Eukaryotic small subunit ribosomal RNA
Source: RNAcentral